GGAGAGAUGGCUGAGUGGUCGAAGGCGCACGAUUGGAAAUCGUGUGAACGUUAAUAGCGUUCCGUGGGUUCAAAUCCCACUCUCUCCGCCA
RNAcentral lists this transfer RNA (91 nucleotides) under Oscillospiraceae bacterium. Its description in RNAcentral is "tRNA-Ser". It matches the Rfam family "tRNA". From Rfam's summary of the family: Transfer RNA (tRNA) molecules are approximately 80 nucleotides in length. Their secondary structure includes four short double-helical elements and three loops (D, anti-codon, and T loops). Lineage: Bacteria; Bacillati; Bacillota; Clostridia; Eubacteriales; Oscillospiraceae. The record is from RNAcentral.